Molecule: long non-coding RNA, 275 nt
Filed under: Olea europaea (common olive)
Lineage: Eukaryota; Viridiplantae; Streptophyta; Magnoliopsida; Lamiales; Oleaceae
Description: long non-coding RNA (OEUR_LNC001445)
Source: RNAcentral
GUCACAUUCAGCAAAGCAGGCAUGGAAACAUCAUAAUAGUACUUAUUUUUCUUCUUUAUAUUCUUCUGUUCUCUUUAAUUCCACUAGAAAUUGAAUCAUCUGUGAAAACAAAAGCAGAGGCUCUUGUAAGAUGGAAGAACACCUUAUUAUCUCAUGAUUUUUACCAUUCAUGGAACCUCAACAACCAUACGAAUCUCUCCAUAUGGCAAGGAAUUGUGUACAACACUGGGGGUUCAAAACUGAGGUAAAAUUUAUCUCAUGCAAACAUUAAUGGC